RNAcentral lists this ribosomal RNA (301 nucleotides) under uncultured bacterium. RNAcentral's name for it is "partial 16S ribosomal RNA". It matches the Rfam family "Bacterial small subunit ribosomal RNA", at positions 509 to 807 of the family's 1533-position model. The record is from RNAcentral.
CAGCAGCCGCGGUAAUACGAGGGGGGCAAGCGUUGUUCGGAAUGAUUGGGCGUAAAGGGUGCGUAGGCGGUUUGAUAAGUCAUCUGUGAAAUCUCUGGGCUCAACCCAGAGUCUGCAGGCGAAACUGUCGGGCUUGAGUAUGGGAGAGGUGAGUGGAAUUUCCGGUGUAGCGGUGAAAUGCGUAGAUAUCGGAAGGAACACCUGUGGCGAAAGCGGCUCACUGGACCAUAACUGACGCUGAUGCACGAAAGCUAGGGGAGCAAACAGGAUUAGAUACCCGCGUAGUCCCUGUCUCUUAUAC